GGUUUUUCAGGAAAUUCACCUCAGUGUCUGCCGUGCGUGGCUUUAGACUGAGUUACUGAGCUCCAGGAGGGCGGCAAGAUGCUGGGGCCUGCGUUACGGGCAGCACCAUGAUCAGGGGUUCCUGGCCUCUGUCACCGAGCCUGUGGGAGCUGCUCAGGGAACAAAGUUUGUCAUCCUGAGACACCAGACCUUUGACGAGACUCAGGUAACCUCUGACAGCGCGUACGGUGCUAACAAAGAGUCCCUGUCAGCCUUUGUGGAAGACUUUGAGACUUCAGUCAGCGUUGACUUUCUAGAAGAUGAGGAGCGUGUUGGCGAAGUGCUAGACUGUGGUUCUUCGGAUCUAUCGGAUCAUGGAGGAACAGAAGAAGCUCAGCAUGAAGAUGAAAAGAUGACAGAAGCAGCAGCAUCCCAGAAGUUGUGAUCACACAGGCAGAUGAGGAUUAAAAAUGACCUUGCCUGGAGCGUGUUAGAAGAUUAAACAGCAGCUCUCCAUGCUCCAGGGAGCUAACAGUGGUGGCUAGCCCCUCAUUCAACAGUUCUGAAGAGAGUUCCUCAGUUUAACCCCAGGGUCUGCAAAACAAUCCUUUCGUUGACCAGGCUCGAAUUAGAGGGGAGGAAGAAAGCCAACGGUACUCUUCUAAGCUCCGUCCCUUUCCAGAAGCAGAUGCCGCUCACUGGGGUUCGUGCAGAUGUUUUUGAUGACAUGGUCUCUGCUUGACUCUGCCUUGACAAGAUUCGGCUGAAGUCCCUGGGGAGUCGGGAUUAAUUUGUUUGGGGUCCUGUCUCCAAGAGGCUUGUAGUGACAUCUGAAUGUGUUUUCUUAAUUCAUAGAAAAUGAUCCUGUUUUACAGGUACAACUUCUCCUGAUGUAGCUACUUGCCUUCCUCAAACCAUUUGUUAGAGGAGCCUUUAAGCUGAGCAGAAUUAAGUGCGGCUGCAUGUGAUACUUUCAUCCAGAGGCGUGCUUACAUGUGGUAUCCCAGAGUUUUUACAGGCAUGGACAUUCAUUAUUCUGGACAUCAAGGAUGCCCAGGCAUCAGCUUAGAGAUUUCUUAAUUAUUCAUCUCUGGUUGAACUUUCCACCCCUCAAGCAGAACGAUAUGGUGAAAUAACAAAUUAUGCAGAAGUUAAGUUCUUUCGGGAGAUCUGUAAUCCAUUCAGCCAGCUGUUUUUCCUUCCUGGUCCUGUAAUCCAUCCUUGUCCCUGUGUUGUUAUAAGAGAUGGGUCUUGCUUUAAUUGCAACAAUACUUUAAUAGCAUUAUAACUGUGGUAAUAAAUACGUCCUAGGUACCUCUUCA
This 1301-nucleotide long non-coding RNA is filed under the name Anser brachyrhynchus (Pink-footed goose). Its description in RNAcentral is "lncRNA (ENSABRG00000022088.1)". The record is from RNAcentral. Lineage: Eukaryota; Metazoa; Chordata; Aves; Anseriformes; Anatidae.